This 1139-nucleotide long non-coding RNA is filed under the name Neodiprion pinetum (white pine sawfly). Its description in RNAcentral is "uncharacterized LOC124211649". The record is from RNAcentral. Lineage: Eukaryota; Metazoa; Arthropoda; Insecta; Hymenoptera; Diprionidae.
AUCCGCUUCGGAAAUCAAAGGCCAGUUUCAAAUGUGGAACGCGAUCGAAACGAGCGACUGACUAGCCGUACUCCAAAUGGAAAAAGCCAUGCUUCAACAUCGCGGAAUUACGAGAGCUAGAUCGACUAUCGUAUUCCGCAUACGAUUUCUUAUCGAUCUACACGUGUAUAAAGUUCGCACGCGCCACGAUUAUCGCGGUGAUAGUGUAUCUACGGAUUUGUCGGUUGGACCGAAUUGGUCGCGAUGCCUUGGCUGAUCCGUCGAAUCUCGUAAUUUUGAAAACAGGGAAACAUCGAGCGCCAUACACACCCUUUCGCCCGAGCGAUCGUCGACGAAAAAGAAUGCCAGGACCCUCGGCGAGACAUCCGGGCUCUGAAGGGUUUCGCGUCAUCCCGCCAGGCGGCAGCAAGUCCUUGCAAAGGGUUUCGGCGGCAGGACGCACGCUGGACUUUUUUUGGUGCUCGAAAGGCGCGCACCGUGCUCACCGAGAGCCGGACGCCGAGGAGUGGGAGAAGAUGGGUCCUUGACUUAACUCGCGGUUAGUCGCUCUCCAGACGUGCAACGUGUGUGAGAUGCGAGCGGCGAACCGGACCGAAGGAAGCUGAUUUCUUGUUCAAGAAGCGAGCAAUUUUUAAUGGCACUUUGCAGACCGAUCAUUUUUUGUAAAUAUAUUUUUCGGAUAGUUCGAUGAAUUCUAAUACUACAGAAACGGCAUGGUUUUUUUUUUUUUUUUUUGGAAUUUUCAAGUAGAAGAGCCAGAAUCGGCUUCGUGAAACGAUAUGAAGACGUCAGAGUCGGAGUAUAAAGUACAAAGGGAAAGGAGGUGUGCGGCGGAUGGGGUUGAACUGACGAGUCAAAUUAAAGGUUUUAAUAAAGAGAUCAAUUUAUUUGACACUCUUGUUGUAAUAAGCGUGCUUUUCUAUCGUCAUAAUAGACAGGAAUAAUAAACUCAAUCUUUUACACUCAUAAAUAUAAAUAAAACAUUCUUACAUACGUCCUCUCUUUCUCUCUCUGUCUCUCUUUCUCUUUCUUAUCUACCUAUAUCUCCUCUCCUCUACAUAUUCUUUCGUCAACUUUUUCUCGUCGUAUCUCGCAAUUUCUUACAUCACUAAACCGUCUAAUCGGAUAAUCAUAACAAA